Molecule: long non-coding RNA, 2632 nt
Filed under: Helianthus annuus (common sunflower)
Lineage: Eukaryota; Viridiplantae; Streptophyta; Magnoliopsida; Asterales; Asteraceae
Description: hypothetical non coding rna
Source: RNAcentral
ACAUGUGUGUACGUAUGCGAUCAGAAGAAGGAGCCAGGAGAGCUCAAACCCUAGUUGUACAAAUCCUCCAAAUCGAAGCUCAAAUCAAGCCCGAAUCGUCUGCAUGAUUACAAAUUCGUGAUCGCCUAGUCGUGGGGAUCAUAAGGUGGGAGCUUGAAAAGGAAUGGGUCAAACGGAUCAUGGAUGCGAAGAAUGUUUGCGUGGAUGCGAGGGUAAAACGGCUUAUGGAAUUUACGUGGCUAUGAAUCAGCAAAUUAUUAAGGCAAGGUAUUAAAACGGGUCAACACUUUGACCCGCGCCAGGUACGCGUAAAUUGGGUGGAAGAUAUGUGAAUACCUUAAUGUAGAAAAAUGACAUGUGAAAGUAGAGAGUGGGAUUUAAACUUAAAUGAUUAAAUUCUCUCUAAUGGGUCAAAAUAUGCAUUUAAGCGUAGACGGGUCAAAAUCUUGUAAAAAGGUAAUAAGCCGAAUGCAUAAAAGUCUCAAAAUCUAUUAAGCCGGAUGUCGGACUUUAACUCCAUCUGAUGGAGAAUCAAAUUACAAACAUGUAGGAAGAAAUGGUAGGUCAAACGGACAAGCGAAUUUAAAGAUACGAAAGAUUUCGUGUCAAUUACGGCAAAAUGGAAAUGCUGAAUGCAGGGGCCACCGUAACUUACGGUGCCACCGUAAGUUACGGUGGAGCUGAAUUAUUUACGGUGGUUGCCUACUGUUGUACGGUAGGAAAAUUUUAUUACAGAGGCCACCGUAACUUACGGUGCCACCGUAAGUUACGGUGGAGGUCAUUUUCAAAUUUUUGUUUUUGGAGUCAAUGGUUUCCCGGACUCGUUUGGACGCGUUUUAAAGCCCGUAAGACUAAAGCAUUUCGUGUUUAUGAAAUGUAGGUACAUUUUGGAUGCCGGAAGACGAUCAAGCUCGACGAAGGACCGAACACGAUAUAGAUACAUGCUUCCGCACUUUAACACUUUGCAAAUUUUAAACAACGAAUUCAACCACGUUAUGUAGAAUAACUUAUGAAUUGUAAAAGUUUUAAUAAAUUCGUAUUUUUAUAGUAUGUGUAGGCUUAACUACACAUCUAAUUGUUGGCGUUUACAUAUAAAAUUGUUAAUUAGUAACUAGGGUGUUACAAGUUGGUAUCAGAGCCCUGGUUUAAGAGAUUCAAGUAUGGUGGGGAAAACCAUGCUUGGACUUAAACCUUAUGCUCUUGACAAAGAUUGGUGUUCGGUUCGAGGCUUGAUCGCAAAUCCGGUAAGUACCUCUAUGCUAAUAGUUUAGCAUGCUAAAGUGUUAUAAACAACACCUGGGGUUAUCGUGUGAUACACGUUACCUCAAUUAAGCGAUAAAUGUAGUUGACAAAGUUACGCGUGUUGACACAUAUAGUACAAAAGUCUUGUAUUAUGAUACGGGCAUUUAGUAAAGUUGACAUUACUAACUUUUGUGAAUGUCUUGAUUGAAGGACACUUGCGUUUAAAGAUGACAAAGGUUAAACAAAUUAAAGAUGUGAUAGAGGAACAGUCCGAGGCAUGACGAGAGGAACAUGCUCACUAAGGACUAAAUCGCGUAAAGACCGCGAACAAGGUUAAUGGCAAGAAACGCCCGUCGGGGCAAGCAUUAUCAGGUGCGUGCUUUUAAAUAUAAUCGCGCAAUUAGCAAUGUGCAACAAACAUGUAAAGAAUGAUUGUCGCAUAUGUAAAUUAGAAACUUGGGAAACCUGAAUAGAAUACCUAUCCAGGAUAUUAUCUCCAAGAAAACUAAAUAGAGGUGUUACUUACAUGGGGUGUGAUGUGAAAACUAUAAAAAGGUCGUGUAUGUCAUGUGUUAAUCGCUUACUCUGGCCAAGUAAGUAGUGGCAUAUGACACCAUGAGUUUCUUAUAGCGGACACAUUAUAUCUGAUGUAGUAAGGACGGGGUAAAUGGGACAAAUUAAAAAGUACCCAAAAGAAUCAAGUGAGCAAAAUAUUUGAUAAUAAUGUAAACGCACAGCCGAGUGACGGAAGCGUAUUACAUUAAGAUAAUGAGCCCGAGUGAAGGGACAAAGAAACACGUAAGAUGAUCAGAAUACGUAUCGGGAGGGGGGUGUACUUACACUCGAACCCGGAAAAUGCAAAUAUGUACAAUGAUGUAGACAUGUAUUGGGAGGGGGUGUACUUACACUCGAACCCGGAAAAUGCAAAUAUGUAAAAUGAUGUAGACAUGUAUUGGGAGGGGGUGUACUUACACUCGAACCCGGAAAAUGCAAAUAUGUAAAAUGAUGUAGACAUGUAUUGGGAGGGGGUGUACUUACACUCGAACCCGAAGAAUAUAAACAUGUAAAAUGAUCAAGAUAACACUCGAACCCGAAGAAUGCAAAUAAGACUCUUAACGGGCCGAUUUUGUAAAACACCAAAUUUGAGAACAAAGUAGGAAUAUAAAAGCGAAACGAAGUCAUAAUGCAUACCGUAAGGGUUGCAAUAAUAACGACUUCGGUAAAACACCCGGUUGGUGGGUAAGGAUUUAAACACAUGCGUAGACUGAGAAACAGGAACGCACAUGGAAAGUCAAAAGACUCGGGUUUUGGGUCAUGACCAAAGGACGAUAAGAUAACGGCAAAUAGAAAUUUUGAUGAAUUACGCUCAACUAUUUUAAAGUUGAACAGG